AUUGAACGCUGGCGGUAUGCUUAACACAUGCAAGUCGAACGGAAACGAUACUAGCUUGCUAGUAGGCGUCGAGUGGCGGACGGGUGAGUAACGCGUAGGAAUCUGCCUGAUAGUGGGGGAUAGCCCGGAGAAAUUCGGAUUAAUACCGCAUAAUCUAUUCGUAGUAAAGUGGGGGACUUUCGAGCCUCACGCUAUCAGAUGAGCCUGCGUAAGAUUAGCUUGUUGGUAGGGUAAAAGCCUACCAAGGCGACGAUCUUUAGCUGGUCUGAGAGGAUGAUCAGCCACAUCGGGACUGAGACACGGCCCGAACUCCUACGGGAGGCAGCAGUGGGGAAUAUUGGACAAUGGGGGCAACCCUGAUCCAGCAAUACCGCGUGUGUGAAGAAGGCCUGAGGGUUGUAAAGCACUUUCAAUUGUGAAGAAAAGUUAACGGUUAAUAACCGUUAGCCUUGACGUUAACUUUAGAAGAAGCACCGGCUAACUCCGUGCCAGCAGCCGCGGUAAUACGGAGGGUGCAAGCGUUAAUCGGAAUUACUGGGCGUAAAGCGUGCGUAGGCGGUUUAUUAAGUCAGAUGUGAAAGCCCCGGGCUUAACCUGGGAACUGCAUUUGAAACUGGUAAACUAGAGUAUGGUAGAGGAAAGUGGAAUUUCUGGUGUAGCGGUGAAAUGCGUAGAUAUCAGAAGGAACAUCAAUGGCGAAGGCAGCUUUCUGGACCAAUACUGACGCUGAGUACGA
RNAcentral lists this ribosomal RNA (736 nucleotides) under bacterium IMCC7588. RNAcentral's name for it is "bacterial SSU rRNA". It matches the Rfam family "Bacterial small subunit ribosomal RNA", at positions 28 to 756 of the family's 1533-position model. The record is from RNAcentral.